This 22-nucleotide non-coding RNA is filed under the name Rattus norvegicus (Norway rat). The record is from RNAcentral. Lineage: Eukaryota; Metazoa; Chordata; Mammalia; Rodentia; Muridae.
UUUGAGAGUCUACAGUAUGCCU